CAGUCGCCACGGGAAUACGGAGGGGGCUAGCGUUGUUCGGAAUUACUGGGCGUAAAGCGCACGUAGGCGGCUUGGUAAGUUAGAGGUGAAAGCCCGGAGCUCAACUCCGGAAUUGCCUUUAAGACUGCCGAGCUAGUAGGUGAGAGAGGUAAGUGGAAUUCCGAGUGUAGAGGUGAAAUUCGUAGAUAUUCGGAAGAACACCAGUGGCGAAGGCGGCUUACUGGCUCAUUCUAGACGCUGAGGUGCGAAAGCGUGGGGAGCAAACAGGAUUAGAUACCCGCGUAGUCCCUGUCUCUUAUAC
RNAcentral lists this ribosomal RNA (301 nucleotides) under uncultured bacterium. RNAcentral describes it as "partial 16S ribosomal RNA". It matches the Rfam family "Bacterial small subunit ribosomal RNA", at positions 509 to 807 of the family's 1533-position model. The record is from RNAcentral.